AACGAACGCUGGCGGCAGGCCUAACACAUGCAAGUCGAACGCUGUAGCAAUACAGAGUGGCAGACGGGUGAGUAACGCGUGGGAACCUUCCCAAUGGUACGGAAUAGCCCAGGGAAACUUGGGGUAAUACCGUAUACGCCCCUAGGGGGAAAGAUUUAUCGCCAUUGGAUGGGCCCGCGUCGGAUUAGCUAGUUGGUGAGGUAAUGGCUCACCAAGGCAACGAUCCGUAGCUGGUUUGAGAGAAUGACCAGCCACACUGGGAAUGAGACCCGGCCCAGACUCCUACGGGAGGCAGCAGUGGGGAAUCUUUGACAAUGGGCGCAAGCCUGAUCCAGCCAUGCCGCGUGAGUGACGAAGGCCUUAGGGUUGUAAAGCUCUUUUGCCGGGGACGAUAAUGACGGUACCCGGAGAAUAAGUCCCGGCUAACUUCGUGCCAGCCGCCGCGGUAA
Molecule: ribosomal RNA, 449 nt
Filed under: uncultured bacterium
Lineage: Bacteria
Description: partial 16S ribosomal RNA
Rfam family: Bacterial small subunit ribosomal RNA
Source: RNAcentral